AGGACGAACGCUGGCGGCGUGCUUAACACAUGCAAGUCGAGCGGAAAGGCCUUUCGGGGUACUCGAGCGGCGAACGGGUGAGUAACACGUGAGUAAUCUGCCCAUCGCUUCAGGAUAGCCAUCGGAAACGGUGAUUAAUACUGGAUAUGACAUUCCUUCGCAUGUUGGGGUGUGGGUAAAGUUUUUUCGGCGGUGGAUGUGCUCGCGGCCUAUCAGCUUGUUAGUGGGUAAUGGCCUACCAAGGCUUUGGACGGGUAGCCGGCCUGACGGAGGGUGACCGGCCACGACUGGGACUGGACGACACGGCCCAGACUCCGUACGGGAGGCAGCAGUGGGAAUAGUGGACAAGUGGGCGGAAGCCGUGACUCCAGCGAACGCCG
This 380-nucleotide ribosomal RNA is filed under the name uncultured soil bacterium. RNAcentral's name for it is "bacterial SSU rRNA". It matches the Rfam family "Bacterial small subunit ribosomal RNA", at positions 26 to 399 of the family's 1533-position model. The record is from RNAcentral.